This is a long non-coding RNA of Dromiciops gliroides (monito del monte), 186 nucleotides long. RefSeq lists it as uncharacterized. The record is from RefSeq and is a predicted model, not a curated record. NCBI's taxonomy places the organism in Eukaryota, Metazoa, Chordata, Mammalia, Microbiotheria, Microbiotheriidae. The transcript has 3 exons.
UCUGCUGAUUCAGCAGGUAGCUACCCGUUAAGGCACCGGUGCCUACGGUAGCCAAGAGCAGGGAGGCGCUUCGGCCAGUUAGAAACCGAGAGAAGGCACUGGCCAUCCUUCUUCUUGGGAGAUUGCCUGGGAGCCGGAGUCAGUAACACAACGUCCUGCUGCACCCAGUCAGCCAAGAAGUGUAAC